ACAGAUUCUAAAUCGUACUCCCCAUACAGUCAGAGGCAGGGAGUCGAGGGCAGAGGCAGCAGGCGGAGAGAGGGAGAUAGGGCGAGGGAAGGAGAACGCGGAGAGAGACGAAGGGAGUGGGAGACCAGCGACAGCGAGCGCCAGGGCACCGCAGGCACACUGGAUGCCCGGUCCGCCGGCCCAGCCGCCCUCGGACCCUGGACCGUGCGUCGUGGGCACCAGAAACGAGACUCGGCCAAAUCCUGCCUCACCAGCAGGUAGAUGAAACUCAAGAGAAAAGGUGUGGAUAAAUGAAACUAGCCCAUGAUGAACCUGUUUUCUCCGUGACCACAAUAUUAACCAGGAUGAUGGCGGUGGCAGUGGGCCUGCAUCACAGGUUGCAGCAGAUGUUCUCAAUAUUUCUAUUAAAAUUUCCUUAUUUCCAUAUGCAAGAGGAGCCCCAGAGCUGCAUCCUUAUGGUAGCUACCAUGCCGUGAUGUAAGCUGCCAUUCACUGGGGAGCUUUGGCAAUAGAAUUGGCUAGAUCAGCAAGCCCAUGUCAACUAUGGAACAACAACUUGCAGCUCAUCUCUAUUGAUGAUACACUGCCUCUAGGACUGGGACAGAUAGCCACUGAGUACCUGCUUCAAAUCACCCUGCACGUUUUCUCUUUGGAAAGAUAAGCACUGGAGAACCAUCUCGUUACCUUCAGCAAAAAUGGAAACAAAUCAAGACAUUAAGAAUGCCACAGUGGACAGCAGUUAUGCAAGGUUCAGCAGAGGAAGUUUUCAAGAUGGUGUGCCUCACUAGCCAGAAAUCAGAAAAGAUCGAAGCUAGCCUUUUCAUCUCAGCUGCUCCUUAAAUCAGUGCAACCCCUCCAAAUUAAUGUGAAUUGAAACAUGCAUUGCUUUUCAACUUAAUUGAAUACUUACUAUAUGUGAACCACUGCACAAAAUAGGGGAAGAAGAUGUGGGAGACAAAGAUGUGGAGCCUGUCUUCAAUAAAUUUACAGUUAGU
This 995-nucleotide long non-coding RNA is filed under the name Pan troglodytes (chimpanzee). Its description in RNAcentral is "long non-coding RNA NONPTRT013471". Lineage: Eukaryota; Metazoa; Chordata; Mammalia; Primates; Hominidae. The record is from RNAcentral.